AGGGGCUACCCAGGCAGAGAGCUGAGAACACAGUGGCCAUCAGCCUCGCUAUCACCUCCACCCCCAAAGUGCUUGGCUCCCAAAGGACAGCUCUAAAAUCCCCAGAAUCUCAGGCUGGUGGGUCCAGCUGAGCAUCCUAGUUUUCACUUUCUCCUCCCAAAAAGGAAAGAACCUUGGUCACUAAAUUCUACGCCUUCUGGAAAUCACUCUAAUGACUUCCUGAAUGAUCGACUGAGACCAACAGCUGGCCCAGCCCUGCAUGGAGCAGUAAGAAACCCUCAUCUGUCAGAGUUAAGGGGCCUGAAUGGGUACAGGUCACAUUCUUGGAGCUCAAGGUGACAGGCCAGAGCCCAGAUCCCCAGGACAGUGCAGCACCUUGUCCAGGCGGGCCUCCCGUUUCUGGCUCCGGGCUGAGCUUCCUGGAGAAGAGGAAGGUAAGAUACAUGGAAGGGAUGGAGGUGGUGUGCAUCAUACCUGCCUGGACCUCACUCAUCACUUGGGGAGCUGGUUAAACAUGCAGGUCCCCAGGCCUCUGUCUUGGAGGACCUGAGGUUCAG
RNAcentral lists this non-coding RNA (557 nucleotides) under Pan troglodytes (chimpanzee). Lineage: Eukaryota; Metazoa; Chordata; Mammalia; Primates; Hominidae. The record is from RNAcentral.